Molecule: transfer RNA, 69 nt
Filed under: Pelophylax nigromaculatus (dark-spotted frog)
Lineage: Eukaryota; Metazoa; Chordata; Amphibia; Anura; Ranidae
Also listed under: 3 other names
Description: tRNA-Glu
Rfam family: tRNA
About the family: Transfer RNA (tRNA) molecules are approximately 80 nucleotides in length. Their secondary structure includes four short double-helical elements and three loops (D, anti-codon, and T loops).
Source: RNAcentral
GUUUUCGUAGUUGAAUAACAGCGAUAGCUUUUCAAGCUAUUGGUCCAGGUUAGAGUCCUGGCGGAAAUA